Molecule: ribosomal RNA, 377 nt
Filed under: uncultured bacterium
Lineage: Bacteria
Description: bacterial SSU rRNA
Rfam family: Bacterial small subunit ribosomal RNA
Source: RNAcentral
AUACGUAGGGGGCUAGCGUUGUCCGGAAUUACUGGGCGUAAAGGGCGUGUAGGCGGUCGUGCAAGUCGGUUGUGAAAGUCUAGGGCUCAACUCUAGGAUGCCGAUCGAAACUGCAUGGCUUGAGGGCAAGAGAGGGAAGCGGAAUUCCCGGUGUAGCGGUGAAAUGCGUAGAUAUCAGGAGGAACACCAGUGGCGAAGGCGGCUCCCUGGGUUGCACCUGACGCUGAGGCGCGAAAGCUGGGGGAGCGAACGGGAUUAGAUACCCCGGUAGUCCCAGCCGUAAACGAUGGAUGCUAGGUGUAGGAGGUAUCGACCCCUCCUGUGCCGCAGUUAACGCAUUAAGCAUCCCGCCUGGGGAGUACGGUCGCAAGGCUGAA